UACGUAGGGUGCAAGCGUUGUCCGGAAUUAUUGGGCGUAAAGAGCUCGUAGGCGGUCUGUCACGUCGGCUGUGAAAUCCCGAGGCUCAACCUCGGGUCUGCAGUCGAUACGGGCAAACUAGAGUAUUGGCAGGGGAGACUGGAAUUCCUGGUGUAGCGGUGAAAUGCGCAGAUAUCAGGAGGAACACCGGUGGCGAAGGCAGGUCUCUGGGCCGAUACUGACGCUGAGGAGCGAAAGCGUGGGGAGCGAACAGG
RNAcentral lists this ribosomal RNA (254 nucleotides) under uncultured bacterium. Its description in RNAcentral is "partial 16S ribosomal RNA". It matches the Rfam family "Bacterial small subunit ribosomal RNA", at positions 524 to 776 of the family's 1533-position model. The record is from RNAcentral.